This 490-nucleotide ribosomal RNA is filed under the name uncultured bacterium. Its description in RNAcentral is "partial 16S ribosomal RNA". It matches the Rfam family "Bacterial small subunit ribosomal RNA", at positions 30 to 507 of the family's 1533-position model. The record is from RNAcentral.
AUUGAACGCUGGCGGCAGGCCUAACACAUGCAAGUCGAACGGUAACAGGAAGAAGCUUGCUUCUUUGCUGACGAGUGGCGGACGGGUGAGUAAUGUCUGGGAAACUGCCUGAUGGAGGGGGAUAACUACUGGAAACGGUAGCUAAUACCGCAUAACGUCGCAAGACCAAAAAGGGGGACCUUCGGGCCUCUUGCCAUCGGAUGUGCCCAGAUGGGAUUAGCUAGUAGGUGGGGUAACGGCUCACCUAGGCGACGAUCCCUAGCUGGUCUGAGAGGAUGACCAGCCACACUGGAACUGAGACACGGUCCAGACUCCUACGGGAGGCAGCAGUGGGGAAUAUUGCACAAUGGGCGCAAGCCUGAUGCAGCCAUGCCGCGUGUAUGAAGAAGGCCUUCGGGUUGUAAAGUACUUUCAGCGGGGAGGAAGGGAGUAAAGUUAAUACUUUUGCUCAUUGACGUUACCCGCAGAAGAAGCACCGGCUAACUCCGUG